This 616-nucleotide ribosomal RNA is filed under the name uncultured Legionella sp. Its description in RNAcentral is "bacterial SSU rRNA". It matches the Rfam family "Bacterial small subunit ribosomal RNA", at positions 242 to 849 of the family's 1533-position model. The record is from RNAcentral. Lineage: Bacteria; Pseudomonadati; Pseudomonadota; Gammaproteobacteria; Legionellales; Legionellaceae.
UAGCUAGUUGGUGGGGUAAGGGCCUACCAAGGCGACGAUCGGUAGCUGGUCUGAGAGGAUGACCAGCCACACUGGAACUGAGACACGGUCCAGACUCCUACGGGAGGCAGCAGUGGGGAAUAUUGGACAAUGGGGGCAACCCUGAUCCAGCAAUGCCGCGUGUGUGAAGAAGGCCUGAGGGUUGUAAAGCACUUUCAGUGGGGAGGAGUGUUGAUGGGUUAAGAGCUAAUUAACUGGACGUUACCCACAGAAGAAGCACCGGCUAACUCCGUGCCAGCAGCCGCGGUAAUACGGAGGGUGCGAGCGUUAAUCGGAAUUACUGGGCGUAAAGGGUGCGUAGGUGGUUUGAUAAGUUAACUGUGAAAUUCCUGGGCUCAACCUGGGCGUGUCAGUUAAGACUGUUAGACUUGAGUAUGGGAGAGGGUAGUGGAAUUUCCGGUGUAGCGGUGAAAUGCGCAGAGAUCGGAAGGAACACCAGUGGCGAAGGCGGCUACCUGGCCUAAUACUGACACUGAGGCACGAAAGCGUGGGGAGCAAACAGGAUUAGAUACCCUGGUAGUCCACGCUGUAAACGAUGUCAACUAGCCGUUGGUUAUAUGAAUAUAAUUAGUGGCGC